RNAcentral lists this ribosomal RNA (233 nucleotides) under uncultured Leotiomycetes. RNAcentral's name for it is "partial 28S ribosomal RNA". It matches the Rfam family "Eukaryotic large subunit ribosomal RNA", at positions 1 to 236 of the family's 3401-position model. The record is from RNAcentral. Lineage: Eukaryota; Fungi; Ascomycota; Leotiomycetes.
UUGACCUCGGAUCAGGUAGGGAUACCCGCUGAACUUAAGCAUAUCAAUAAGCGGAGGAAAAGAAACCAACAGGGAUUGCCUCAGUAACGGCGAGUGAAGCGGCAACAGCUCAAAUUUGAAAUCUGCCUCUAGGCCGAAUUGUAAUUUGUAGAAGAUGCUUCGGGUGUGGCACUGGUCUAAGUUCCUUGGAACAGGACGUCAUAGAGGGUGAGAUCCCGUACGUGACUGGCUGC